CCUACGGGCGGCUGCAGUGGGGAAUAUUGGACAAUGGGGGCAACCCUGAUCCAGCCAUGCCGCGUGUGUGAAGAAGGCCCUCGGGUUGUAAAGCACUUUCAGUGAGGAAGAACGCCUGGUGGUUAAUACCCAUCAGGAAAGACAUCACUCACAGAAGAAGCACCGGCUAACUCCGUGCCAGCAGCCGCGGUAAUACGGAGGGUGCGAGCGUUAAUCGGAAUCACUGGGCGUAAAGCGCGCGUAGGUGGCUUGAUAAGCCGGUUGUGAAAGCCCCGGGCUCAACCUGGGAACGGCAUCCGGAACUGUCAAGCUAGAGUGCAGGAGAGGAAGGUAGAAUUCCCGGUGUAGCGGUGAAAUGCGUAGAGAUCGGGAGGAAUACCAGUGGCGAAGGCGGCCUUCUGGACUGACACUGACACUGAGGUGCGAAAGCGUGGGUAGCAAACAGGAUUAGAUACCCGGGUAGUC
Molecule: ribosomal RNA, 465 nt
Filed under: Vreelandella stevensii
Lineage: Bacteria; Pseudomonadati; Pseudomonadota; Gammaproteobacteria; Oceanospirillales; Halomonadaceae
Description: partial 16S ribosomal RNA
Rfam family: Bacterial small subunit ribosomal RNA
Source: RNAcentral